This 65-nucleotide transfer RNA is filed under the name Zele chlorophthalmus. RNAcentral describes it as "tRNA-Cys". Lineage: Eukaryota; Metazoa; Arthropoda; Insecta; Hymenoptera; Braconidae. The record is from RNAcentral.
UUAUAAUUAGUUUAUAAAAACAUUAAAUUGCAAAUUUAAAAUUAAUUAUUAAUAAUUAUUAUAUU